UGGCAUGUAGGGGAAGCCUUACAGGGCUCCAACAUUCAGCUCCAGCUCAGGUGAGCACAAGAUUUGGAGUGUUGCGUCCUGUGUGUGUUUUGGGGCUCAGGACCAUGCCGGGGCAUGGUGGAUGAGAGCAUUGUGUAGGAACCAUGGGGAAGGUGGCAGGAUUGUCCUUUGAAGUGGCCUGCCAGGCAGGUCUAGGAGGUCAGGGCCUCCACCCCCAACCCAAGCAGUAGGAAGCUCCCUUUUUAGCCUCAGCAGAUGUCUCCAGGAAGCUUUGUAGAGAGGAAGAUUUGGAAGAGCAUAGACAGGCUUGUCUCCAGGUGGCAGGGAGAGUGAUUUUCUUGUAGGCUCCAUCAUGGAAGAUGUCAGCAGUGUGGAGGUGGGCCUUUGUAGGCUUUCAGUGCUCAUUGAAGCAAGGCUUCCUGUUGGGGAGUGCAAAGCAUUUCCCGACUGAACAUGGCCUAGCUACCCUGCAGACCAGGAUUAGAGUGUACAUAGGAAGGAGGGAUAGAGAAAGACAGAGAUAGAGGUGGAAUUGGAGGUAGAGGAGGAUAGACAGAUGGUUGGGGGGACAGGGAGCCAGAGGGUAGCAGAGAAAUUGAGAAUCUGCAUGUGGGAUGUUGGGUGUUUUCGUGUUUGUUGGUGUUUUUCUAUGCAGGCUGGUGGGCAGACCCAUUCUGUCUAUGGACACUUGUUUCUCUUCCAUGGAUCUGGGCCCCUGGAGGGAAUUUUGUGUGAGGAUACCUGGAAUAGGGGUGGUUGUGUGCUGCAGGAAUCCUGGUGUUUGUGUUAAGUGUCCCUCAGCUUCUCUGUUGCCUGUCCUAGGUCCAGUUGAAUGUCUUGAAGAGCUGAGUGAGUCCUGUGUGUGCCUAGGCCCUGCCACAGCUCAGGGACCUGGAUGGAUUGCCUGUUGAGGGGAGGUUGUGGAUGUCCCUGGCCCCUAGUGAUCCCUGCUUCGGGAGAUGUGGGGCAGCAUCCACCUGAUGGACUUCAUCAAGGAUGCCAAGGUUUUGGAAGGAAGCCCUUCUCCUCUCCCAUCUCAAUAUCAAACCAUGGGACCAUGGAACAUGGGACUCAGGCCCCCGACGCUGGAGUCGUGACCAGUGCACACAGCUGCCUGCCCUUUUCCCUUGUGUCCAUCCCAGAGCGGCCUUCUGCCAGGUCCAGUUGAAUGUCUUGAAGAGCUGAGUGAGUCCUGUGUGUGCCUAGGCCCUGCCACAGCUCAGGGACCUGGAUGGAUUGCCUGUUGAGGGGAGGUUGUGGAUGUCCCUGGCCCCUAGUGAUCCCUGCUUCGGGAGAUGUGGGGCAGCAUCCACCUGAUGGACUUCAUCAAGGAUGCCAAGGUUUUGGAAGGAAGCCCUUCUCCUCUCCCAUCUCAAUAUCAAACCAUGGGACCAUGGAACAUGGGACUCAGGCCCCCGACGCUGGAGUCGUGAGCAGUGCACACAGCUGCCUGCCCUUUUCCCUUGUGUCCAUCCCAGAGCGGCCUUCUGCCAGGUGGGAAGCCCGUGCUGGGCCUAGGGUCCCAUUGAGUUGGGUGGAGUCUUGUAGACAGCUGCUGGAUCUCUGAAAGCUGCGGUGUGUGUGUGUGUGUGUGUGUGUGUGUGUGUGUGUGUGUGUGUGUGUCUGUGUCUGUGUCUGUGUGUUAGGGGUGAGGGCCAUUCUAGGGCAGGGAUGCAGCUGUGAUAAUACCCUGGUUUGGCUGCUAGGGGGCGACGCUCAGCCCCUGGUCCCGAAAUCCUUGAGUCUGUUUCUGAGGCUCCUCCCCUAGAGUCCAGAUUGGCAUGUGGUUUCUGUAGGAUUCCCUUAGGGUCUGGUGUGGGCUCUCCAGUGCUUCUGCGCCCACAUGCACACACUCCGCACUAGGGCCCCUCCAUGACACCCUCCACCACCAGCCCCCUCUCCAGGUUCCACAUGAUACCCUCAGGCGGGGCCUUCAUGGGCUGGCAUGCUCCCAAAGCCGAGUGUCUCAGGGCAGUGCAGGGCAUGGAGGAACCUGUUAAGGUCGGUAACCAACAUCUGUCCACCGCACCCCCAGCUGCUGCACACCCUGGGAUCCCUAGCAGCAGCCCUAGAGCCUCAAGUCUGUGCAGUCCAGGCCAACAUGGUUGGUCUCCAUCUUGGAACUAGACAGGAGAAUUCUGGCCUUUUUUUUGAAAAUUUUUUUGGUUUGCGAAGGGCGGAGGCAGAGCACCCUUCGCCCUGGGCGGCUGACAUUCGCGAUGCACUGCUGCCAUCACGCGGAUGCAGUUUGCCUAUUCCGCCAGCAAGUCCCUGUGCUUUACUGGAAAUGGAGUCGGACCGACUAGGGAAGGGCUUCCUCGUGGGUGUCCCAGGACCAAAGCGGUUCUAUUGCCAGCUCCAUGACCCAGGGGAGCUGGAGGUGGAAGCAGGGUCCAGGUGACCAGCUCCGGGCGGGCGCCACGAGGCUCGGCUUGCGGGUCACGGAAGCACAGUCUCCCGGGUCCUCUGGGCGCCAUGUCUGGCAGGAGCAGAGGUCUUGUCAGCAGAGGAUUGUGCAGCCUGGGCUGCAUCAUGGUCGGUGUCGGGAACUUUUCCUGCCAGGGUGCAGCCUGCCUGCCCAUACCAUGGUGCACAAGGCCCCCUGCCUAGCUUUUGUCUGAGCAUCCCCAGAAGUACCCACAGCUCCCUUCCGGAGACCACACAAACUCUGCCCUGAAUCUCUGGGAGGGUCUCAGGGUCUCAGGCCUGGUGGCUAGCUUCUCUGACCAAAUGUCUGUCAUCCAUUUAACUCCUCCUGCCAUCCCCUCUCUUCUCUGGCUGCCAGGUCUUCUCUCUGGCUUGCCUUUUGUUCCUUAUACAGGGUUUUCCCUGGAGCUGUGCUUCAAGUGGAAUUCAGGGCCUGGGACCUGUCAGAAAAGGUUCCUGCUCCAGAAACACAUCCCCACAUCCCUACCAGGGGUCUGAAAGCCCCCACCCAUCAUCAUCCUCUGCAAGCUGGUUGGGUGUACCCAGUAAGGAAGGCAGUGUGGUGGCUCAAAGUGAAUCCAAGUAGAAGCAGGUAGAGAAGGGUCUGGACUCAGGGGUGCUCACAAAGAGGCCGUGUAGGACUUAGGUACCGUGGAGGUCAGAUUUCAUGGCCCCUGCCUCCCCUGACAAGCCUCCCCUCUGGGAUGGAGGACACACCUGCAGGCUGCAAACUCCUGUCUUACCUGCCUAGCUCACCUUGCCUUAAACCAGGUUA
Molecule: long non-coding RNA, 3202 nt
Organism: Peromyscus leucopus (white-footed mouse)
Lineage: Eukaryota; Metazoa; Chordata; Mammalia; Rodentia; Cricetidae
Exons: 4
Source: RefSeq, a predicted model, not a curated record